Pygoscelis adeliae (Adelie penguin) is the source of this 185-nucleotide long non-coding RNA. RefSeq lists it as uncharacterized. The record is from RefSeq and is a predicted model, not a curated record. The transcript has 2 exons. Lineage: Eukaryota; Metazoa; Chordata; Aves; Sphenisciformes; Spheniscidae.
AGCCGGAGUGCCGUGACGCUGGCUGGGAACGGCAAGGAGCAGGUGCCCGUCUGCCCCCGCUCGGCCUCCGCCAGCCCCCUCAGCCCCUGCCACAACCACCGCCUGCAACACCGCUGCUGGGAUAGGCGGAAGGGGACCGCUGGCAGCCCUGACGUGACGCCGCGCCGCAGGACCGAGUCCUCGCC